UAUUUAGAUUUAAAAACAUUUUGCUAUUUGUGGCUACAUUUUGGAUAAUGAGCUAUUUUGUAGGAGGAAACAUAUCGAUUCAAUAGUACUACAUAAUAGUACUUAAUCUCAUCACUCAUUAAAACUAGACAGCUCUUAAAUAUAUUAUAAUCAUCUGAGUUUCAAAAUAUCACUAUUUAAAAUUAACUUCACAAAAUUCUAGAAAUUACAAAGCUUAUCUUUUCAUGAAGAAACAAAGAAUUUUUAAAAAUUAACUCUCAAUAUCACUUGUUUUGAUGUCCCUAAUGUUAUACCACUAGUUGCUUUUAUGUCCUUUCCUAUGAAUACUGACAUAGCUAGGAUGCCUUUCCUAUAUUUAUUUUUUAUCAUUGUCUCCUACAGUAUAUAUCACUUAAAGGUCUUUCUCUCCAGAUACUGAAUUUUCACUCCUUUAAUACCUCUUUUAUCCUGAAUAGCAUAAUAAAGUUUCCCUUAAUUCUAUAGUACUUCAGGUAACUUCAUAUUAUCUCUCUCACACACACACACUCACACACACACACACGGAUAUACACAUACAUUAUAUAUGAUAUAUAUGUUUUCCUCUAUCUCAGCUGUGUUUAUUCAGUAUCAGGAAAUUUUUUAUUUGUUCUUUUCAGAUACACAUGACAUUAGAACAUAUUUGGCAUAUUAUACAUACAUGCAUUAUAACUUAUUCUAAUUAGGGUCCUAUUCUUGUGGUUGUACAUGAUGCGGAGUUACCCUGGUCAUGUAUUCAAGCACAAGGAUAGGAAAAUUAUGUCUGGUUAAUUCUAUUAUUCUUCCUAUUCCCCUUCAUCCUUCCUGAAAGAGGAGUAUGAGUAAAUUUGUAUUAUUUAUUUACUUAGAUCACUUAUGGAUUUUAAGAGAGUGAAUCUCUAAUGAUUUAUAGUUGUAAUUUUAAGAGGGAAAAGUACUUGUGAAUUUGUAUCCCUCUUACCAGUGCAUGUAGGCACUACAUUUGAAACACUAUAUAUAAAUUAAUGUAAGUAUAUGUGACAAUGGAUAAUACUUGCAUGUUCAAAUAUAUGCAUGCGUGAAAGUGUGUAUGUUCUAUAUAUGUACAUUCAAAUAUAUGCCUGAAAUUCACACAGAAUCUCUGAAUUCAAUUAUACAAAUGGAGCCUAUUUUAUAAAGACAAGCAUGCAAAAUUGUGGAUGCAGUAGAGUGUUCCAUUAUAAACUUGCCCCACUCUCUGUAAGUUAAAGCAGUGCUCCCCUGAAGACAGUGCUACCAUGGUGAUCCUAUUGCAUUGUAGCUGUGCACUCUCCUGUAUUUAUCUGCACUCCUUUUAGUCUCAUUUCCCUCUGUCUACAGAAUCUCAAAGAUUAACUUUUGUAUUGCUGAAUGAUAAUCACAAGGCUACCUUCUUAUCCUCAUCCACAGUCCUAUAAAUCAUAUCCUCUCAUUUUUCAAGCUUCUAGUCUCUGGAGUAACUCACUCUCUCCAACACUGUUCUCAUAAUUCUUGGUCAUCUCAAGACUUUCUUACAUAAUUCUUUAUUACCUAUCAACCAAUGUCCCUUUCUACCUCUCAUCAGCUCUUAUUCCUGUAAUGUCAUACUUAAUAACUAUAAAAUCCUCUUCAUCUCAAGUAUAGCAGCCUCCCACCAUUGCCUUCCUACAAGCUCAACUCCUUUGACACUGUUGAACCAAAGAACCUUGCAAUUGUGGGUUUAAUGCUCAUAAAAAUUUCAAUAUUUUCAGAUAUUUGAGAAAGUAAAUUCUAUUUAAUUGCAUGUAUUUAUACGUUCACACUUUCUUUCUGCUACUAUGGAUAAACUUUUCUUGCUAUUGUACCUUCCUUUACACAAGACACAAUUAUCAUUAUCCUACUCAAUAAAAUACAUGAAACAUCUUAACACACUCACCCUGAAUCCAUAAAUCUCCAAUCAUACUCAAUGUAUCCCAUAAAUCGCUCUCUAUUUUCUUCUCUAAUUGAGAGUAAAAUUCUAGUAGGUCCUAACUAUUCAUUUUGAUUUUAAGUCUCUGCUUCCUGUCAUGACUGAAGGAAAUCUAUCUAUCACAGUCAGUAACAGAUGCCAUGUUACUAAUUUUUUGAUUGACAAAUCAUAAUUGUUUACACUUAUGGGAUAAUAUAUAUUUUGAUAUAUUUGUACACUAUAAAUGAUCAAAUCAAGCUGAGGAUUCAUUUCAAUUCUCAUCCUAUUUAAUCAUUCUGUAUUCCAUGAUUUUCUUUUUCACAUAGUUCCCAG
RNAcentral lists this long non-coding RNA (2230 nucleotides) under Marmota monax (woodchuck). Lineage: Eukaryota; Metazoa; Chordata; Mammalia; Rodentia; Sciuridae. The record is from RNAcentral.